UCCUGUGUCGGGCUGGCUCCUAAUUGGGCGGCUUGGGAAUUUUCCCCAAAGAAGUACGGGGUAACUGAUUUCGGGAACCCAACUCCAUGCUUUGGCUUCUGUGCAGGGAAACGUGAGUACGAACACCCUUGCCAAGGCGCUGGGUUUAAAACCCAGACCAGAAAUCCCUAUCAAAACGCGUCCGCCGCCCUUUCUUCCCAGAUAAGGGGCCGGGUUCAUGGAGCAGCGGGGGCCGCUUGCAGUCGAAAUAGGUUCCACUCAUCCCCUUUUCUCUGCGCCUUUUCCGCUCCGCAGCAUGUCUCUCGGCCAUGUGUUAGGAGGCGAGGUGUCGGCUCCCAUCUCCCGUGCCGCCGCAGCAUCGCCCUUCACCCCCCCCAAGCAGCCGACCUUGCUCUCUGGAAAAAGUUCUCCCUGAUACGGGGCUCCUCCUGUUACAUUCCCCCCCCCCCUUUUUUUUUUUUUUGGGGGGGGGGGAAGGGGCCCCCCGCGCUCGCGGCGAAGGUAAAUCUCCCGGCGGCGGAGCCUCCCCGACGGCAAAGGCUGGGCGCCGCGCCCCGCCGCUUCUCUCGUGUCCCCGGUGCUCUGGUUUUCCUCUUCCUGAAGCCCUGUGUACACAAAGGGCUUGCUUCUGCCUUUCAAUUAGGUGGCAGAGGGAGCGCCUACCGGAGGAGCCGGGGAUCUGCGAGGCGAGCCGGUGCCGCAGGAAAGCAGAGGGAUGGCAUUUACCCUCCCGGCCACCAAAGGAGGACAUGUGUGAACACAGCAUCUUUAGCACGAGGUGCCCAGCAGAUCUGA
Molecule: long non-coding RNA, 795 nt
Filed under: Anas platyrhynchos platyrhynchos (common mallard)
Lineage: Eukaryota; Metazoa; Chordata; Aves; Anseriformes; Anatidae
Description: lncRNA (ENSAPLG00000029602.1)
Source: RNAcentral